GACAGAGGCCUCGAGCGUUAGGCGGAAUCACUGGGCUUAAAGCGUGUGUAGGCGGAUGCCUAAGUACCUUGUGAAAUCCCACGGCUCACCCGUGGAACCGCUGGGUAUACUGGGUGUCUUGGGCCAUUCAGGGGCGACUGGAACAAGCGGUGGAGCGGUGAAAUGCGUAGAUAUCAGAAGGAACAUCAGUGGCGAAGGCGGCUUUCUGGACCAAUACUGACGAUCAGGUGCGAAAGCGUGGGGAGCAAACAGG
This 253-nucleotide ribosomal RNA is filed under the name uncultured bacterium. RNAcentral's name for it is "partial 16S ribosomal RNA". It matches the Rfam family "Bacterial small subunit ribosomal RNA", at positions 524 to 776 of the family's 1533-position model. The record is from RNAcentral.